This 63-nucleotide transfer RNA is filed under the name Curculionoidea sp. 3 KM-2017. Its description in RNAcentral is "tRNA-Glu". The record is from RNAcentral. Lineage: Eukaryota; Metazoa; Arthropoda; Insecta; Coleoptera.
GUUUACAUAGUUUAAAUAAAACCUUACAUUUUCAUUGUAAAAUUGAAUAAUUUUCUGUAAAUU